This 385-nucleotide unclassified non-coding RNA is filed under the name soil metagenome. Its description in RNAcentral is "partial contains 5.8S ribosomal RNA, internal transcribed spacer 2, and large subunit ribosomal RNA". The stretch from base 1 to 120 matches the Rfam family "5.8S ribosomal RNA", at positions 35 to 154 of the family's 154-position model. The record is from RNAcentral.
GAUGAAGAACGUAGCGAAAUGCGAUAAGUAAUGUGAAUUGCAGAAUUCAGUGAAUCAUCGAAUCUUUGAACGCACCUUGCACCCUUUGGCAUUCCGAAGGGUAUGCUCGUUUGAGUGUCAUUGUACUCUCACACUCCCAAUUGCUUUGGAUUGGGAGCGGUGGACUUGGGUGUUGCUGCUUGACUGAGGCUCACCUGAAAUAUGUUAGUGCACCUCUUGAUUGGACAUAGUACGGCGUGAUAAGUGUGUUCGCCGGCUCCUCGCAAAGAGGGUGGCCGAUCGGGAGCUCUGUUGCUUCAAACUGUCUUCGGACAAUCUUCUGGCGACUUGACCUCAAAUCGAGUAGGACUACCCGCUGAACUUAAGCAUAUCAAUAAGCGGAGGA